This 300-nucleotide ribosomal RNA is filed under the name Anophryoides haemophila. RNAcentral's name for it is "partial Bacterial large subunit ribosomal RNA". It matches the Rfam family "Bacterial large subunit ribosomal RNA", at positions 45 to 392 of the family's 2925-position model. Lineage: Eukaryota; Ciliophora; Oligohymenophorea; Philasterida; Glauconematidae. The record is from RNAcentral.
GGCGAUGAAGGACGUGGUAGCCUGCGUAAAGUUUCGGGGAGCUGGCAAACAAGCUUUGAUCCGGAAAUGUCCGAAUGGGGAAACCCACCCGCAAGGGUAACUCCUCCUGAAUAUAUAGGGAGGUUGUGGCAAACCGAGUGAACUGAAACAUCUAAGUAGCUCGAGGAAAAGAAAUCAACCGAGAUUCCCUGAGUAGUGACGAGCGAACGGGGACCAGCCCUUAAGCUGGAUUGGUUUUAGAAGAACAGUCUGGAAAGACUGGCCAUAGACGGUGACAGCCCGGUAUUCGAAAAGACCUUU